GACGUAGGAUGCGAGCGUUGUCCGGAUUUAUUGGGCGUAAAGAGUUCGUAGGCGGUUUGUUAAGUCCGGUGUUAAAGAUCGGGGCCCAACCCCGAGAGUGCAUUGGAUACUGGCAGACUGGAGUGUGGUAGAGGUAAGUGGAAUUCCUGGUGUAGCGGUGAAAUGCGUAGAUAUCAGGAAGAACACCAGUGGCGUAGGCGACUUACUGGGCCAUAACUGACGCUGAGGAACGAAAGCUAGGGGAGCAAAUGGG
Molecule: ribosomal RNA, 253 nt
Filed under: uncultured bacterium
Lineage: Bacteria
Description: partial 16S ribosomal RNA
Rfam family: Bacterial small subunit ribosomal RNA
Source: RNAcentral